UAGACAAUAUCAAACCAUGAAUUGUACUAUAAUUAGAUUUAAAAAUAUUUUUACGAUGUCAGAAUUAUAAGAAAUGUGUUAAAAUUCAUGCAGGUUUAAAUUUAGUUUGACAGUGCUUUUAUUAAAUAAAUAGCCCGCUUGGAUCUUGAAGACCGAGACGGAGGG
Desulfosporosinus meridiei DSM 13257 is the source of this 165-nucleotide non-coding RNA. Lineage: Bacteria; Bacillati; Bacillota; Clostridia; Eubacteriales; Desulfitobacteriaceae. The record is from Rfam.